UCCACACUACUAUUUGCUUGGACGCAAAGCCUGCUCUCAUCUUUCUCUCUUUUGGUGUUCUUUUAUAUCUGUGAUAUAAUGACAUUGACAAUGUCAUGUUAAAGUCAUUUUUGUUUUAAUUCAUAGAUUACAUUUGAAAACAGCACACCUGUUACCAUAGCUGUGGCCGAGUGCAGUUGUGUUGCUGGGAAAGCACUCUGCAAUCACAACGUUGCUCUUCUUUUCCAAACGGCACAUUACUCCACACUAAAUCUGAAGGCAGUGCCGCCUGUGCUGAGCUGCACAGAAACUGCACAGUGCUGGCACAAACCAAGAACUAAGGGUGUAAAACCAGGCAGAGUUGGUGAGAUGACGGUACUUUCUACCAAACCAAAAACCAGACAGUACACAGUUGCUGAUGGUGUGAGGAGUAAGCGAUACAAAGCAGUUCGUGGGGACCUGCUGGACCCAGAUGUCUUAGAAGUGGCUGAGGCAUACAAGGAUUUUGCUGCAGACAUCGUGCCACUGAUCACCACCAUGGAUAUAAACAAGGAUGUUCCGUUGGUGGAUUCUGUGUUUGGCCCUGUACAGUA
This is a long non-coding RNA of Melanotaenia boesemani (Boeseman's rainbowfish), 572 nucleotides long. RefSeq lists it as uncharacterized. The record is from RefSeq and is a predicted model, not a curated record. Lineage: Eukaryota; Metazoa; Chordata; Actinopteri; Atheriniformes; Melanotaeniidae. The transcript has 3 exons.